GGGAGAAGUGUCACCUAAAAUAAAGUCUAAAAAAGUUGUGACUUAAGAACUGCUGUCAACAUUAUUAUUUUAAAUAAUAUUUGUUCUCCUUUUGUGGAAUCGCUCUCUAAUUGUCGAAAUUCCAAACCUACUCCAUAAUUCACACCUGCAUUCAUCGCCAACCCCUUUCCUGCUCGUUCACGAAGAGGGAUUGUACUCAUGGUGCCCAGUGUCAUGUAUUGAUGAUGCUCUGGACCUUUGUCUGACCGCAAGUCAUCACAUUAAUUAAGAGCACGCCACAAAAUCCCAUUCGAAUACUUCGAUUGAGCUGGCAGAGCUGUGAAGGUCGGGCGUGGAUCCCGGAUCCGGGCAACUCCUAAUCCUUGCCGCGGCCCAUUCUCCGUCGUACUCUGAGCCUUGGCCUGGCACGUAAAAUAUGCCAACUGUAAGGAAUUUUGCGGCAACGCCUCGCAUAGCUGGCAGCGUGUAAAAUGAGCGAUAAGCGGCGGAGGGAUGCGGCAGGAGGGACCCGGAGCAAGAGAAGGAUAAAACCACACGCAGAACAAAUCUGACUUUCUUUUUUGAAAGCGGAAGUUUAAAAGUGACUAGGAUCUUUUAAACCGACGAUAUAUGUAAGACUUGGUAAAUUAGUAUAAUUAACACGAAAUAAAACAAUACAUUUAAA
Long non-coding RNA from Drosophila biarmipes, 664 nucleotides. RefSeq lists it as uncharacterized. The record is from RefSeq and is a predicted model, not a curated record. Lineage: Eukaryota; Metazoa; Arthropoda; Insecta; Diptera; Drosophilidae. The transcript has 2 exons.